UGGCGAUAUCUCUCCAGGCCGCGCCGGCGGUGGCGAACCCAUCUGGCCCCGCUGCUAAGCAUCCCGCCAAAUUCACCCGCUGAGCCUCUAUCUCCACGCGGGCGCAGCGAUCGCCGCCAUAGGAUGCCGCUGUCCAAUAGGAAGCGGAAGACGAGGUCGGCCAAGUGCUCGCCGUCGGCUUCGGCCGCCGUCGCCCCGCGAGAACCAGCCGCACAGAACUCCUCUAGGUAAUUCUGUAUGACCCUCGCGCCCGGAUUGUUGGCCUUUUCUUCGGGAACUUGCUGUUUGAGGUUUUGAGCAUCAGUAGUCUCCAUACAUCAAUUUUUCCGAGAUAUUCGUUGCUGAAGCAUUGUUUGAAGGCCUCAGUCUUUCAGAUGCACCUCUGCUUUGCCUGCUCUGUGGUGAGAUGAACCUGGAAGCUACAGCAGCAUCCAUUCUUGUCUAUACAUGGUUUACGACAUCAUCCUCUGACAGUGCUGACCCCAAGUAUCUACCAAUCAAGAAGAGCAGGGAUCUACUGGCAGUUUCACCUGUGGUUUCAGAGAGCAUUGUCUUCACUGCGGUAACCUAUGAUUGCAACCAACAGAGCGUGAUGGAUCCUUCGAGAUAAUUUAAGUAUACUCGCAGUGUGUUCUAACUUCGAACGAACCGGAAUCUAUGGUUUUCGAUUACUCUGGUGACCUAUGCCAGCCUUCAAAAUAUAAUUUUAGGACAUUCACGCGUGAUGCAGCCGACCAAGUCAUACGUCGUGACGUGGCCAGGCAUAGCCGUCGCGCGAGGAAGAUGAGACGGAAGCAAGGUCUCAUUCAUCCAUCACGUAAGCAAGGCGGCAGGAGGAAACCGCAAAGUCAUCGGGGUCAUUACUGGGCUGGCAGCAGCGGCAUGGUCGAUCAACUGAAGCCUGAAGCAGUGAAGCGGUCAAUCGGUGUGGGCAGAAUAUAAAGCAGCAUCAGCGAUUCAGCGGCGUCAGAAAUUCAGAGCUGGCGAGCGCGACGGAGGGUUCAUUCGCGCGCCGAUCCAAUCAGGAUUCAGGUCCAUCGCUUUUUCUUCUUGUUUUUUUUUCUCUUUCGGAUGAGAAGGUCCAACGCUUUGACAAAAGGCAGCGGAUUCUAGACGGGCGGGUGCGGCAGCACACCGCGAAGGGAGGUGGUGGCCGCCCUUGGUCAAGCUGAGCCACUCCUGAGCUGCAAGUCUGGAAUAUGAAAUGGUAACUCUCGGGCA
Molecule: long non-coding RNA, 1221 nt
Organism: Panicum hallii
Lineage: Eukaryota; Viridiplantae; Streptophyta; Magnoliopsida; Poales; Poaceae
Exons: 2
Source: RefSeq, a predicted model, not a curated record